GCCUCUGAUCUCUCACCCCAAACACCAGAGCCCAGAGCGGGGAGAUGGCCAGUCUUUUCCUAUCCAAGUCUUCCAGUGGCCCCUGGCUCCUCUACUACAUGGCCCUCUGUCUUCUGAGGGCAGGUACAGUGGCUGCUGGAAUCACCCAGUCCCCAAGACACAUAAUCAAAGGUCGUGGGGGGAAGGCCAUUCUGAAAUGCCAGCCCAUCUCUGGACACAGAAGUGUGUACUGGUACCAGCAGACUCUGGGACAUGGCCCCCAGUUCCUCAUUAGUUUGUAUGAAAAGGAGGAGGAACAGAAAGGAAACAUCCCAGAUCGGUUCUCAGCAAAACAGUUCAGUGACUACAGCUCUGAGCUGGCCAUGAGCGCCUUGCAGCUGGGAGACUCAGCGGUGUAUCUCUGUGCCAGCAGCUUAGACACAGCCCUGCAGGGUCAAUGGCUUUCUGUACUCAAACCUCCCUGCCCCAGCUGA
Molecule: non-coding RNA, 473 nt
Organism: Myotis lucifugus (little brown bat)
Lineage: Eukaryota; Metazoa; Chordata; Mammalia; Chiroptera; Vespertilionidae
Source: the annotation of a RefSeq genome assembly